CGUCUAUAUACGUAUAGCAUAUCAAUAAGCGGAGGAAAAGAAACUAACAAGGAUUCCCUUAGUAACGGCGAGUGAAGCGGGAAGAGCUCAAAUUUGAAAUCUUCAAGGUUCUACCUUGACGAAUUGUAGUUUAUAGAAGUGUUUUCUGUUAGUGGAGUGGCAAAAGUUCUUUGGAAUAGGACAUCAUAGAGGGUGAGAAUCCCGUAUUUGGUCAUUCCUCCUAGCGUUGUGAUACACUUUCAACGAGUCGGAUUGUUUGGGAAUGCAGUCCAAAAUGGGUGGUAAAUUUCAUCUAAAGCUAAAUAUUGGCGAGAGACCGAUAGCGAACAAGUACCGUGAGGGAAAGAUGAAAAGAACUUUGAAAAGAGAGUUAAACAGUACGUGAAAUUGUCAAAAGGGAAGCGUUUGUCACCAGUGUUGUUUUUCCGAAAAUCAAUUACGAAUGUUUUGUUUUUAAGAAGUUAUGACUUCAUCGGCUUGCUCCUUUCUUUAUGAAACUUUCUUAAUGCACUUUUCGGCUAACAAGUCAACAUCAAUUUCUUUUGUUGUAAAAGAGUAUGAGGAAGGUGGCUUUCUUUUCGGAGAAAGUGUUUAUAGCCUUGUGCCUCUGCAAUCGGAGAGAUUGAGGUCUGCAGCGUAGAUCCUUCGGGGUUAGAUACAGUUUGUGCUAAGUUAUAGCUUUUCAUAGACAACUUGUUGACUAUGUUUAGUCUUGUAGCUUACUCGCUUAUGCUAUUUUACCUACGCUUAGGAUGUUGACGAGACUGUCGAUCUC
This 775-nucleotide ribosomal RNA is filed under the name uncultured Neocallimastigales. Its description in RNAcentral is "partial large subunit ribosomal RNA". It matches the Rfam family "Eukaryotic large subunit ribosomal RNA", at positions 26 to 645 of the family's 3401-position model. Lineage: Eukaryota; Fungi; Neocallimastigomycota; Neocallimastigomycetes; Neocallimastigales. The record is from RNAcentral.